Dicentrarchus labrax (European seabass) is the source of this 136-nucleotide small nucleolar RNA. The record is from Ensembl. Lineage: Eukaryota; Metazoa; Chordata; Actinopteri; Moronidae.
UGCCUUUAUGUGUUGCCCUUUCAUUGUUCCGUUAGUGAUUGGGGUGUCAAAUAAGGCAUACAGUGACACUUGUGACUGUCUAUGUUUAAAUGGGUUUCAAAGUGACUCUUUUACACAAACGGCUACAAGGACACAU